Molecule: ribosomal RNA, 577 nt
Filed under: Aspergillus flavus
Lineage: Eukaryota; Fungi; Ascomycota; Eurotiomycetes; Eurotiales; Aspergillaceae
Description: eukaryotic LSU rRNA
Rfam family: 5.8S ribosomal RNA (bases 203-356)
Source: RNAcentral
GACCUGCGGAAGGAUCAUUACCGAGUGUAGGGUUCCUAGCGAGCCCAACCUCCCACCCGUGUUUACUGUACCUUAGUUGCUUCGGCGGGCCCGCCAUUCAUGGCCGCCGGGGGCUCUCAGCCCCGGGCCCGCGCCCGCCGGAGACACCACGAACUCUGUCUGAUCUAGUGAAGUCUGAGUUGAUUGUAUCGCAAUCAGUUAAAACUUUCAACAAUGGAUCUCUUGGUUCCGGCAUCGAUGAAGAACGCAGCGAAAUGCGAUAACUAGUGUGAAUUGCAGAAUUCCGUGAAUCAUCGAGUCUUUGAACGCACAUUGCGCCCCCUGGUAUUCCGGGGGGCAUGCCUGUCCGAGCGUCAUUGCUGCCCAUCAAGCACGGCUUGUGUGUUGGGUCGUCGUCCCCUCUCCGGGGGGGACGGGCCCCAAAGGCAGCGGCGGCACCGCGUCCGAUCCUCGAGCGUAUGGGGCUUUGUCACCCGCUCUGUAGGCCCGGCCGGCGCUUGCCGAACGCAAAUCAAUCUUUUUCCAGGUUGACCUCGGAUCAGGUAGGGAUACCCGCUGAACUUAAGCAUAUCAAUAA